AGUGAACGCUGGCGGUAGGCCUAACACAUGCAAGUCGAACGGCAGCACAGUAAGAGCUUGCUCUUACGGGUGGCGAGUGGCGGACGGGUGAGGAAUACAUCGGAAUCUACUUUUUCGUGGGGGAUAACGUAGGGAAACUUACGCUAAUACCGCAUACGACCUACGGGUGAAAGCAGGGGAUCUUCGGACCUUGCGCGAUUGAAUGAGCCGAUGUCGGAUUAGCUAGUUGGCGGGGUAAAGGCCCACCAAGGCGACGAUCCGUAGCUGGUCUGAGAGGAUGAUAGGCCACACUGGAACUGAGACACGGUCCAGACUCCUACGGGAGGCAGCAGUGGGGAAUAUUGGACAAUGGGAGCAAGCCUGAUCCAGCCAUACCGCGUGGGUGAAGAAGGCCUUCGGGUUGUAAAGCCCUUUUGUUGGGAAAGAAAAGCAGCAGGUUAAUACCCCGCUGUUCUGACGGUACCCAAAGAAUAAGCACCGGCUAACUUCGUG
This 492-nucleotide ribosomal RNA is filed under the name uncultured bacterium. RNAcentral describes it as "partial 16S ribosomal RNA". It matches the Rfam family "Bacterial small subunit ribosomal RNA", at positions 29 to 507 of the family's 1533-position model. The record is from RNAcentral.